RNAcentral lists this ribosomal RNA (497 nucleotides) under uncultured bacterium. Its description in RNAcentral is "partial 16S ribosomal RNA". It matches the Rfam family "Bacterial small subunit ribosomal RNA", at positions 28 to 507 of the family's 1533-position model. The record is from RNAcentral.
GAUGAACGCUGGCGGCGUGCCUAAUACAUGCAAGUCGAGCGAACAGACGAGGAUCUUGCUCCUCUGACGUUAGCGGCGGACGGGUGAGUCACACGUGGAUACCCUACCUAUCAGACUGGGAUAACUUCGGGAAACCGGCGCAAAUACCGGAUAAUAUAUUGCACCGCAUGGUUCGAUAGUGAAAGACGGUUUUGCUGUCUCUUCUAGCUGGAUCUGCGCCGCAUUAGCUAGUUGGUAAGGUAACGGCUUACCAAGGCGACGAUGCGUAGCCGACCUGAGAGGGGGAUCGCCCACACUGGAAGUGAGACACGGUCCAGACGCCUACGGGAGGCAGCAGUAGGGAAUCUUCCGCAGUGGGCGAAAGCCUGACGGAGCAACGCCGCGUGAGUGAUGAAGGUCUUCGGAUCGUAAAACUGUGUUAUUAGGGAAGAACAAAUGUGUAAGGAACUAUGCACGUCUUGACGGUACCUAAUCAGAAAGCCACGGCUAACUACGUG